GUGGGGAAUAUUGCACAAUGGGGGAAACCCUGAUGCAGCGACGCCGCGUGAGCGAAGAAGUAUUUCGGUAUGUAAAGCUCUAUCAGCAGGGAAGAUAAUGACGGUACCUGACUAAGAAGCUCCGGCUAAAUACGUGCCAGCAGCCGCGGUAAUACGUAUGGAGCAAGCGUUAUCCGGAUUUACUGGGUGUAAAGGGAGCGUAGACGGUUGUGCAAGUCUGAUGUGAAAUUCCAGGGCUUAACCCUGGACCUGCAUUGGAAACUGUAUAACUAGAGUGUCGGAGAGGUGAGUGGAAUUCCUAGUGUAGCGGUGAAAUGCGUAGAUAUUAGGAGGAACACCAGUGGCGAAGGCGGCUCACUGGACGAUAACUGACGUUGAGGCUCGAAAGCGUGGGGAGCAAACAGGA
This 406-nucleotide ribosomal RNA is filed under the name uncultured bacterium. RNAcentral's name for it is "bacterial SSU rRNA". It matches the Rfam family "Bacterial small subunit ribosomal RNA", at positions 354 to 777 of the family's 1533-position model. The record is from RNAcentral.